CCCCUCUCAGAAUUACACCUGAAGAGUUUCCAGGACUCUACCAGUCCUAGCUAUGGGAGGGAGAGUUAAGCAGAGGCCUACCUAUUCCAUUGCUAGCUUGGACAGUGGCUAGUAAGUGGAAGGCAAUCUGCUACAAGU
Molecule: small nucleolar RNA, 138 nt
Organism: Ornithorhynchus anatinus (platypus)
Lineage: Eukaryota; Metazoa; Chordata; Mammalia; Monotremata; Ornithorhynchidae
Source: RefSeq, a predicted model, not a curated record